GCCCUUGUAGUAUAAAAUAAUACACCGGUCUUGUAAACCGGAAACGGAGAUUCUUCUCCCCAGGACA
Molecule: transfer RNA, 67 nt
Filed under: Procolobus verus (olive colobus)
Lineage: Eukaryota; Metazoa; Chordata; Mammalia; Primates; Cercopithecidae
Description: tRNA-Thr
Rfam family: tRNA
About the family: Transfer RNA (tRNA) molecules are approximately 80 nucleotides in length.
Source: RNAcentral